UUUCCAGACUUUGUCCUGGCUCAGGACGAACGCUGGCGGCGCGCCUAACACAUGCAAGUCGAACGAGAGAGAGGGAGCUUGCUUCCUUGAUCGAGUGGCGAACGGGUGAGUAACGCGUGAGGAACCUGCCUCAAAGAGGGGGACAACAGUUGGAAACGACUGCUAAUACCGCAUAAGCCCACGACCCGGCAUCGGGAAGGGGGAAAAGGAGCAAUCCGCUUUGAGAUGGCCUCGCGUCCGAUUAGCUAGUUGGUGAGGUAACGGCCCACCAAGGCGACGAUCGGUAGCCGGACUGAGAGGUUGGACGGCCACAUUGGGACUGAGACACGGCCCAGACUCCUACGGGAGGCAGCAGUGGGGAAUAUUGCACAAUGGGGGAAACCCUGAUGCAGCGACGCCGCGUGGAGGAAGAAGGUCUUCGGAUUGUAAACUCCUGUUGUUGAGGAAGAUAAUGACGGUACUCAACAAGGAAGUGACGGCUAACUACGUGCCAGCAGCCGCGGUAAAACGUAGGUCACAAGCGUUGUCCGGAAUUACUGGGUGUAAAGGGAGCGCAGGCGGGCGAUCAAGUUGGAAGUGAAAUCCAUGGGCUCAACCCAUGAACUGCUUUCAAAACUGGUCGUCUUGAGUAGUGCAGAGGUAGGCGGAAUUCCCGGUGUAGCGGUGGAAUGCGUAGAUAUCGGGAGGAACACCAGUGGCGAAGGCGGCCUACUGGGCACCAACUGACGCUGAGGCUCGAAAGUGUGGGUAGCAAACAGGAUUAGAUACCCUGGUAGUCCACACCGUAAACGAUGAUUACUAGGUGUUGGAAGAUUGACCCUCUCAGUGCCGCAGUUAACACAAUAAGUAAUCCACCUGGGGAGUACGACCGCAAGGUUGCAACUCAAAUGAAUUGACGGA
This 900-nucleotide ribosomal RNA is filed under the name uncultured organism. Its description in RNAcentral is "bacterial SSU rRNA". It matches the Rfam family "Bacterial small subunit ribosomal RNA", at positions 1 to 917 of the family's 1533-position model. The record is from RNAcentral.